Molecule: transfer RNA, 75 nt
Filed under: Xerotyphlops vermicularis (Eurasian blind snake)
Lineage: Eukaryota; Metazoa; Chordata; Lepidosauria; Squamata; Typhlopidae
Description: tRNA-Leu
Rfam family: tRNA
About the family: Transfer RNA (tRNA) molecules are approximately 80 nucleotides in length. Their secondary structure includes four short double-helical elements and three loops (D, anti-codon, and T loops). Further hydrogen bonds mediate the characteristic L-shaped molecular structure. tRNAs have two regions of fundamental functional importance: the anti-codon, which is responsible for specific mRNA codon recognition, and the 3' end, to which the tRNAs corresponding amino acid is attached (by aminoacyl-tRNA synthetases). tRNAs cope with the degeneracy of the genetic code in two manners: having more than one tRNA (with a specific anti-codon) for a particular amino acid; and 'wobble' base-pairing, i.e. permitting non-standard base-pairing at the 3rd anti-codon position.
Source: RNAcentral
ACUAGGGUGGCAGAGCCAGGUUAAUGCACUAAGACUUAAAACCUUAUUACAGGCGUUCAAAUCGCCUUCCUAGUA